This is a long non-coding RNA of Carcharodon carcharias (great white shark), 1084 nucleotides long. RefSeq lists it as uncharacterized. The record is from RefSeq and is a predicted model, not a curated record. Lineage: Eukaryota; Metazoa; Chordata; Chondrichthyes; Lamniformes; Lamnidae. The transcript has 3 exons.
CUCCUCACAGGAGAGAGAGAGAGAGAGAGAAAAAAAACACAUCCAAGCCGUCUUUUAAUUAACGUCACUCCUCCACCCGCUUCAGGAUUCAACAUCGCAAGCCGAGCCUCCUUGGAGGGUACAAUACAGAUCUAUUGCAGCAUUCCUCAGAGUUGCACUCUAAACAGAACACUUCAUUCAAUGCCACAGACCAAGCAAAGUUAUCAACACAGAAAUCAUCUGAAAGAACAUCCCUGGCAUGCAAGCUGCAAAGCAUUACAAGUUAACAAUCCUCAAGAUAUCUUAGGGUUUGAGCCACAAGAUUGAGAGAUACUUGUUCUCACUGAUAUCUUCCAAUUUGUGACGGUGGAUUUCAAACUUCGACCAUGGAGACAUUCCUGGAAAGGGACCACCUGACCUACUUUCCAAAAGACAAUAAACGACACAAGGAAAACAGCAAUGUCAUUGGAGAAAAUUCUAGCAUUCAGACACUGCAAAAUCAUAAAUCAGAGAGAAAUCUUAAGCAUGCAAAUCACCCGGGACCUUCAAUUGUGCGGAAAUCUCAAUUUGAUAGUCACUCUGGUUCUUGCAGCACCACCACGUGGCAGGAAAUUGGUAACGCAAAUAAUUGCCGUCCCAUCAAAGGCAGCUCAACACACAAAAAAAUAAAACUUGCCUCAACUUCACUAAAUUGGCAUGGCAGUGUAGUGAGGAAAAUCUUCACGUCAAGAUCACAAUUUGGACUUACAUCUUAAGAUCAAGUGAAAACUCUUGGGUUGCCUGCACAUGAGAAAAAUGAUGUACAAUUUGCUCUCACACUGAAUGGAUUGAGAAACAGCCAAGCCAGGUUUGGACACACUCCUUUAUACCUCAUACACAUUUUCAAGUCUACCUCCCAGACUCGAAAGGAGACAGGUUGUGUGUUCUAUAAACGUAGCAAAUAAACUUCAAUAUUGAUAUAAUGCUGAAGUCAAUGCAAAAACUCUGACAAUUUGUUUCACAUAUUCCCGAGUUCAAAAUGUUAACAUUGAAAAUCCAUUCAAAAAAGAUACUUCAAUGUACAUCCUCUGGCAUCACAAAAGUAAAAUAAAGUGAUACUUCAUAA